AGUAGACCGCCUGGGGAGUACGGCCGCAAGGUUAAAACUCAAAUGAAUUGACGGGGGCCCGCACAAGCGGUGGAGCAUGUGGUUUAAUUCGACGCAACGCGAAGAACCUUACCUGGCCUUGACAUGCAGGGAACUUUCCAGAGAUGGAUUGGUGCCUUCGGGAACUCUGACACAGGUGCUGCAUGGCCGUCGUCAGCUCGUGUCGUGAGAUGUUGGGUUAAGUCCCGUAACGAGCGCAACCCCUAUCCCUAGUUGCUAGCAGUUCGGCUGAGAACUCUAGGGAGACUGCCGGUGACAAACCGGAGGAAGGUGGGGAUGACGUCAGGUCAUCUGUAANANGACGGCCAGGGCUACACACGUGCUACAAUGGUGCGUACAGAGGGCUGCAAACCCGCGAGGGGGAGCUAAUCUCACAAAACGCAUCGUAGUCCGGAUCGGAGUCUGCAACUCGACUCCGUGAAGUCGGAAUCGCUAGUAAUCGCGAAUCAGAAUGUCGCGGUGAAUACGUUCCCGGGCCUUGUACACACCGCCCGUCACACCAUGGGAGUGGAUUGCACCAGAAGUGGUUAGUCUAACCUUCGGGAGGACGAU
This 591-nucleotide ribosomal RNA is filed under the name uncultured bacterium. RNAcentral's name for it is "bacterial SSU rRNA". It matches the Rfam family "Bacterial small subunit ribosomal RNA", at positions 863 to 1454 of the family's 1533-position model. The record is from RNAcentral.